GGCGACAUGGCCGAGCGGUCUAAGGCGCUAGAAUCAGGAUAACUCCUAUCUAGUCUUUCGGGGCGUGAGUUCGAAUCUCACUGUCGUCA
RNAcentral lists this transfer RNA (89 nucleotides) under Sphagnurus paluster. RNAcentral describes it as "Tephrocybe palustris tRNA". It matches the Rfam family "tRNA". From Rfam's summary of the family: Transfer RNA (tRNA) molecules are approximately 80 nucleotides in length. Their secondary structure includes four short double-helical elements and three loops (D, anti-codon, and T loops). Further hydrogen bonds mediate the characteristic L-shaped molecular structure. tRNAs have two regions of fundamental functional importance: the anti-codon, which is responsible for specific mRNA codon recognition, and the 3' end, to which the tRNAs corresponding amino acid is attached (by aminoacyl-tRNA synthetases). tRNAs cope with the degeneracy of the genetic code in two manners: having more than one tRNA (with a specific anti-codon) for a particular amino acid; and 'wobble' base-pairing, i.e. permitting non-standard base-pairing at the 3rd anti-codon position. The record is from Rfam by way of RNAcentral. Lineage: Eukaryota; Fungi; Basidiomycota; Agaricomycetes; Agaricales; Lyophyllaceae.